AAAAGGAACUAACAAGGAUUCCCUCAGUAGCGGCGAGCGAAGCGGGAAGAGCCCGGUUUGAAAAUCUCUUCGGAGAAUUGUAUUCGAGUGUCCUUGGGUGGUCAGUGCGAGAAAGUCGCUUGGAAUGGCGCGCCAUGGAGGGUGAGAGCCCCGUCCAUCUCGCACAGGAUCCAUCCGCACGAGGUCACUUCAGCCGAGUCGGGUAGCUUGGGAAUGCUGCUCUAAUUGGUGGUAAAUCUCAUCAAAGGCUAAAUAUCGGUGGGAGACCGAUAGCGAACAAGUACCGUGAGGGAAAGAUGGAAAGGACUUUGAAAAGAGAGUGAAAAGCACUUGAAACCGUCACGGGGGAAGCGGAUUGCGUGAGUGGUGGUGCGGCAAGUUCAGCGCAAAUUUAUUUUUGCGUGUAUUCUGGCCGUACCUUGUUGCUGUGGCUGGCUGGCGCGUGAAAGGGAAACUGACGCGCUCGGCUGGUGAGGGCUCCCCUCCCUGUAGGGUUUUAGAGGACAGCAGCGAAAUGACGCAAUACGACCCGUCGUCUUGAAACACGGACCAAGGAGUCUAGCACGGCUGCGAGUCGAAGGGUGUAAAACCCAAGGGCGCAGUGAAAGCGAAGUAAUAAGCAAAUUGGGGAGGCGUCGCGUUUUUAACAAAAUGUCCUACCUUGAGCACUUGUGCUGGGACCCGAAAGAUGGUGAACUAUGCCGGAGUAGGGCAAAGCCAGAGGAAACUCUGGUGGAGGCUCGUAGCGAUGCUGACGUGCAAAUCGCUCGUCGAACUUGGGUAUAGGGGCGAAAGACUAAUCGAACCAUCUAGUAGCUGGUUCCCUCCGAAGUUUCUCUCAGGAUAGCGGGCCGACACCGAUGUUGUUUUGUGCGGUAAAGCGAAUGAUUAGUGCAGUUGGGGGACCAAGUCCUUCGGGCGAUUCUCAAACUUUAAAUGCGCAAGGGAGUGGCUGCUUAAGCAAAACUUUUUUCUUUCUAGAAAGAAAUGAGCCUACUCUUUGAAAAACGUCGGCCCUGUGGGCCACUUUUGGUAAGCAGAACUGGCGAUAAGGGAUGAACCUUAAGCGCGGUUAAGGCGCCGCAUUGCCCGCUUAUAGACCCCACAAAAGGUGUUGAUUCAUUUAGACAGCAGGACGGUGGCCAUGGAAGUCGGAAUCCGCUAAGGAGUGUGUAACAACUCACCUGCCGAAUGAAUUAGCCCUGAAAAUGGAUGGCGCUGAAGCGGGCAGCCGACACCGCGCCGUUCCGGCGAGACGUGUGCCGGGAUGAGUAGGAGGGCGUGGCGGUCAGUGAAGCAGGCGAGGGUGCAGACCCCGCUGAAACGGCCGCUAGUGCAGAUCUUGGUGGUAGUAGCAAAUAUUCAAGCGAGAUCCUUGAAGGGCGAAGCGGGGAAGGGUUCCACGCCAACAUUGAUUGGGCGUGGGUGAGUCGUUCCUAAGCCGAGUGGCAAUUGCUAAGUAGCGGCGAAAGGGAAGCGGGUUAAAAUUCCCGCACACGGAUAUGGAGGCGGCGACGCAAGCAGAGGCGAAUACGCUGGCGAGGGCGCCGGGCAGAGUUGUCUUUUCUGUUUGACCGGCAUCGAGCUGUGUGGAAUCCGCUUAUCGGGAGAAACACGCUCGGGUAGGGGCAGAGCGUCAGGUCUUUUCUGGCGUCCGGCUCGCCCUCGACGGCCCCUGAAAAUUCGUCCGCGAUUUCUUUUCUUCCUCCCCCAAAAAGGGUGGAAAGAGCAAAUUUCAUGCUGUGACGUACCGAUAACCGCAUCAGGUCCCCAAGGUGAACAGCCUCUGCUCAAUAUGAACAAUGCAGGUAAGGGAAGUCGGCAAAAUAGACCCGUAACUUUGGGAAAAGGGUUGGCUCUAGUGGAGCGGGGGUUUUCAAAGGGGGCUCACCUGUGCUCGUCGAGGGGCGGACAUGGCUAGCUUCCGCUGGACGUGACUGCUCCGCGCCUUGCGCGGGGGACGCUACUCGCCCUCAGCAUGCUCCAGACUAGAACUGCAACGGGCAAGGGGAAUCCGACUGUUUAAUUAAAACAAAGCAUUGCGAAGGCCGUGGCCGGUGAUGACGCAAUGUGAUUUCUGCUCAGUGCUCUGAAUGUCAAAGUGAAGAGAUUCAAUCAAGCGCGGGUAAACAGCGGGAGUAACUAUGACUCUCUUAAGGUAGCCAAAUGCCUCGUCAUCUAAUUAGUGACGCGCAUGAAUGGAUUAACGAGAUUCCUACUGUCCCUAUCUGCUUCUAGCGAAACCACAGCCGAGGGAACGGGCUCGGCGAAAUCGGCGGGGAAAGAAGACCCUGUUGAGCUUGACUCUAUUCUAAUUUUGUGAAGCAAGUUAGGAGGUGUAGCAUAGGUGGGAGCUUCGGCGUCCGUGAAAUACCACUACUCUUAAUCUUGCUUUACUUAGGGCGUGAGGCUGUGCGGCCGCAAGGCUUGCUUUUUGCACCAAGCGCGCUUUGUUUUGCAUCGCGCGUGAACAGCGCGCCCAACACAUUUAGGAGGGGAGUUUGGCUGGGGCGGCACAUCUUCUACAAGACAACGAAGGUGUCCAAAGAUAAGCUCAGUGAGAACAGAAAUCUCACGUAGCGCAAAAGGGUAAAAGCUUGUUUGAUUUUGAUUUUCAGUGUGAGUUGAAAACGCGAAAGCGUGGCCUAUCGAUCCUUUCACGAUUCGAGAUUUGAAGCGAGAGGUGUCAGAAAAGUUACCACAGGGAUAACUGGCUUGUGGCGGCCAAGCGUUCAUAGCGACGUCGCUUUUUGAUCCU
RNAcentral lists this ribosomal RNA (2758 nucleotides) under Dichotomaria marginata. RNAcentral's name for it is "LSU rRNA". It matches the Rfam family "Eukaryotic large subunit ribosomal RNA", at positions 57 to 2877 of the family's 3401-position model. RNAcentral also lists the same sequence under 1 other name. The record is from RNAcentral. Lineage: Eukaryota; Rhodophyta; Florideophyceae; Nemaliales; Galaxauraceae.